UACGUAGGGGGCGAGCGUUGUCCGGAUUCAUUGGGCGUAAAGAGCUCGUAGGCGGCCUGUCGCGUCUGCUGUGAAAGCCCGGGGCUCAACCCCGGGUCUGCAGUGGAUACGGGCAGGCUAGAGUCCGGCAGGGGAGACUGGAAUUCCUGGUGUAGCGGUGAAAUGCGCAGAUAUCAGGAGGAACACCGGUGGCGAAGGCGGGUCUCUGGGCCGGUACUGACGCUGAGGAGCGAAAGCGUGGGGAGCGAACAGG
This 253-nucleotide ribosomal RNA is filed under the name uncultured bacterium. Its description in RNAcentral is "partial 16S ribosomal RNA". It matches the Rfam family "Bacterial small subunit ribosomal RNA", at positions 524 to 776 of the family's 1533-position model. The record is from RNAcentral.